AGUAGUUUGACUCCGUGGCUCGAGGACGACGCUGGCGGCGUGCCUAACACAUGCAAGUCGAACGGAGUUUUACGCUGAAAUUGAGAGUAGCUUGCUACAGGAAAUUUCUUGUAACACUUAGUGGCGGACGGGUGAGUAACGCGUGAGGAACCUGCCUUACAGAGGGGGACAACAGUUGGAAACGACUGCUAAUACCGCAUAACGUAGCGAGAAGACAUCUUCUUGUUACCAAAGGAGCAAUCCGCUGUAAGAUGGCCUCGCGUCCGAUUAGAUAGUUGGCGGGGUAACGGCCCACCAAGUCGACGAUCGGUAGCCGGACUGAGAGGUUGAACGGCCACAUUGGGACUGAGACACGGCCCAGACUCC
RNAcentral lists this ribosomal RNA (366 nucleotides) under uncultured Oscillospiraceae bacterium. RNAcentral's name for it is "bacterial SSU rRNA". It matches the Rfam family "Bacterial small subunit ribosomal RNA", at positions 1 to 339 of the family's 1533-position model. Lineage: Bacteria; Bacillati; Bacillota; Clostridia; Eubacteriales; Oscillospiraceae. The record is from RNAcentral.